Molecule: ribosomal RNA, 524 nt
Filed under: Papilio polymnestor
Lineage: Eukaryota; Metazoa; Arthropoda; Insecta; Lepidoptera; Papilionidae
Description: partial 16S ribosomal RNA
Rfam family: Bacterial large subunit ribosomal RNA
Source: RNAcentral
AAAACAUGUCUUUUUGAAAAUAAUUUAAAGUCUAAUCUGCCCACUGAUAAAUUAUUAAAGGGCUGCAGUAUUUUGACUGUACAAAGGUAGCAUAAUCAAUAGUCUCUUAAUUGGUGACUUGUAUGAAAGAUUGGAUGAGAUAUAUACUGUCUCUAAUUAAUUUAUAGAAUUUAAUUUUUUAGUAAAAAAGCUAAAAUAAGUUUAAAAGACGAGAAGACCCUAUAGAGUUUAAUAAUUUAUUUAAUUAUUAUUAAUAUAUAAUUUUUAAAAUUAAAAUUAAAUAGAUUAUUUUGUUGGGGUGAUAGAAAAAUUAAAUUAACUUUUUUUUGUUAUUUACAUUAAUUUAUGAUUAAGUGAUCCAUUUAUAAUGAUUAAAAGAAAAAAUUACCUUAGGGAUAACAGCGUAAUUUUUUUUUUUAGUUCAAAUAGGAAAAAAAGUUUGCGACCUCGAUGUUGGAUUAAGAUAAAAUUUAAAUGCAAAAGUUUAAAAUUUUGAUCUGUUCGAUCAUUAAAAUCUUACAUGA